Molecule: small nuclear RNA, 189 nt
Organism: Echinops telfairi (small Madagascar hedgehog)
Lineage: Eukaryota; Metazoa; Chordata; Mammalia; Afrosoricida; Tenrecidae
Product: U2 spliceosomal RNA
Exons: 1
Source: RefSeq, a predicted model, not a curated record
AUUGCUUCUUGGCUUUUGGCCAAGAUCAAGCAUAGUAUCUAUUCUUAUCAGUUUAAUAUCUGAUCCGUCCUCUCUCCAAGGACAACAUAUUUAAUGGAUUUUUGGAGCAGGGAGAUGGAAUAGGAGCUUGCUCCAUCCACUCCAAGCAUCGGCCUGGUAUUGCAGUACGACACAAAAAAAGAAAGAAAG